Molecule: small RNA, 82 nt
Filed under: Klebsiella pneumoniae
Lineage: Bacteria; Pseudomonadati; Pseudomonadota; Gammaproteobacteria; Enterobacterales; Enterobacteriaceae
Description: RtT sRNA
Rfam family: RtT RNA
About the family: This family represents a bacterial cis-regulatory element known as RtT RNA. The exact function of RtT is unknown although it is thought that it may be involved in changing the cellular response in relation to amino acid starvation.
Source: RNAcentral
GAGAACCUCCGGGGGCAGGAGGUUCGACUCGAGCGAAGCGAGAGAACGUUGCGUCAGCAACGGCCCGCAGGGCGAGCCACGA